This 206-nucleotide unclassified non-coding RNA is filed under the name Hevea brasiliensis (rubber tree). Lineage: Eukaryota; Viridiplantae; Streptophyta; Magnoliopsida; Malpighiales; Euphorbiaceae. The record is from RNAcentral.
GUGGUGGAUCCUGAGUUAAAACAUUUCACAUAUGAUGACCUCAAAGUUAUAUGUGAAGUGGUAAGCCUGUGCAUCCAUCCAGAACCCGCAAAGCGACCAUCGAUGCAAGAAAUAAGCAGCAUGUUGGAGAGCAAAAUUGACACAUCUGUGUCCCUGGAGUUCAAGGCAUCUUCCUUGGCAUGGGCAGAGCUUGCACUGUCAUCGUG